GUCAAGGUGGUGUAGUGGUUUGAGUGCUGGACUACAACUCUGGAGACCUGGGUUCAAUUCCUUGCUCAGCCA
This is a non-coding RNA of Phrynosoma platyrhinos (Desert horned lizard), 72 nucleotides long. Lineage: Eukaryota; Metazoa; Chordata; Lepidosauria; Squamata; Phrynosomatidae. The record is from the annotation of a GenBank genome assembly.